CCUACGGGAGGCAGCAGUAAGGAAUAUUGGUCAAUGGACGAAAGUCUGAACCAGCCAUGCCGCGUGAAGGAUUAAGGCCCUCUGGGUUGUAAACUUCUUUUAUCUGGGACGAAAAAAGGGUAUUCUUACUCACUUGACGGUACCAGAGGAAUAAGCACCGGCUAACUCCGUGCCAGCAGCCGCGGUAAUACGGAGGGUGCAAGCGUUAUCCGGAUUUACUGGGUUUAAAGGGUGCGUAGGUGGGCUUGUAAGUCAGUGGUGAAAUCUCCGGGCUUAACCCGGAAACUGCCAUUGAUACUAUAGGUCUUGAAUUAUCUGGAGGUAAGCGGAAUAUGUCAUGUAGCGGUGAAAUGCUUAGAUAUGACAUAGAACACCAAUUGCGAAGGCAGCUUACUACGGAUGCAUUGACACUGAGGCACGAAAGCGUGGGGAUCAAACAGGAUUAGAUACCCUGGUAGUCACGCCCUAAACGAUGGAUACUCGACAUCAGCGAUACACUGUUGGUGUCUGNGNGAAGANAUAGUAUCCACCUCGGAGAGAUCNCAGAUAGAACACGAAGAAGUAGAGCGUGAGACGAGCGACGGACGACGACGAGGGAGGAGG
This 603-nucleotide ribosomal RNA is filed under the name uncultured bacterium. Its description in RNAcentral is "bacterial SSU rRNA". The stretch from base 1 to 531 matches the Rfam family "Bacterial small subunit ribosomal RNA", at positions 338 to 873 of the family's 1533-position model. The record is from RNAcentral.